This 80-nucleotide small nuclear RNA is filed under the name Catagonus wagneri (Chacoan peccary). RNAcentral's name for it is "U2 spliceosomal RNA (ENSCWAG00000019282.1)". It matches the Rfam family "U2 spliceosomal RNA", at positions 1 to 112 of the family's 192-position model. From Rfam's summary of the family: U2 is a small nuclear RNA (snRNA) component of the spliceosome (involved in pre-mRNA splicing). Complementary binding between U2 snRNA (in an area lying towards the 5' end but 3' to hairpin I) and the branchpoint sequence (BPS) of the intron results the bulging out of an unpaired adenosine, on the BPS, which initiates a nucleophilic attack at the intronic 5' splice site, thus starting the first of two transesterification reactions that mediate splicing. Lineage: Eukaryota; Metazoa; Chordata; Mammalia; Artiodactyla; Tayassuidae. The record is from Rfam by way of RNAcentral.
AUUGCUUCUUGGCCUUUUGGCUAAGAUCAAGUGUAGUAUCAAAUAAUCAUUCACUGAAGUGAAAAUAAUAUUGACUAAUA